GAUGAACGCUGGCGGCGUGCUUAACACAUGCAAGUCGAACGGAAAGGCCCAAGCUUGCUUGGGUACUCGAGUGGCGAACGGGUGAGUAACACGUGGGUGAUCUGCCCUGCACUUCGGGAUAAGCCUGGGAAACUGGGUCUAAUACCGGAUAGGACCACAUUUUGGAUGGUGUGGUGGAAAGUUUUGCGGUGUUGGAUGGGCUCGCGGCCUAUGAGCUUGUUGGUUGGGUAAUGGCCUACCAAGGCGUCGACGGGUAGCCGGCCUGAGAGGGUGUACGGCCACAUUGGGACUGAGAUACGGACCAGACUGCAACGGGAGGCAGCAGUGGAGAGUAUUACACAAUAGGGGCGAGCCUGAGGCAGCGGCGUCGCGUGGGGGAUGACGGCCUUCGGGUUGUAAACUCCUUUCGCUAGGGACGAAGCGCAAGUGACGGUACCUGGAGAAGAAGCACCGGCUAACUACGUG
This 465-nucleotide ribosomal RNA is filed under the name uncultured bacterium. RNAcentral's name for it is "partial 16S ribosomal RNA". It matches the Rfam family "Bacterial small subunit ribosomal RNA", at positions 28 to 507 of the family's 1533-position model. The record is from RNAcentral.